UUGUUAUUUCCAAAAUCUCUUUUGUUAUUCCAAGUUUCCAACACAUAUAUGGCAGUGAACCAUGCUAUCUCUUUCUCACUCACUUCAAGAACUUUCCCAUGUAAGAGAACACCGAACCCUCAGAAAAAAAAAGAACACCGAACCCUUUUCUAUCUCCUCCUUCCUCUCAUUUACCCCAAAAUGUCACCAUCGACUUUCCCAUCUCAUCACUCCCCUUCACCUAUUCCCUCCGUUACGUCUUCACCCUCGCCGUCAUCGAAUCUACCGGCACCUUCUGCGCCAGAAGCUUCAUUUGUUCUUCUCCGUGUGCCAGAUCGAUGAGCGUGAUAUGACUUUGUGGUUUUGAAGUUAAUUCACGGUUUUGGAGAUUCAAUUUCAAUUUUGAUUUGAUUUCAACUUUGCUUCCAAUCAGUUUUCAUUGAGCAUGCCAAAUGGAAUCCAUGAUUUUGGUUUGUUUGCUUCAAACCAAAAUCAUGGAGCUUAUACUGGAGAAUGAUUUGCAUAACUUCUUCACUAUGGUUUGGAGCUUAUCAGUCAUCAUAUUAUCGGAUGGAUCGAUGAUGCUGAUGGAAUGUGGUGCAAAGGAUUAGGGAUGCAAGGUUCAUUGGUUCCUUAACGGAUAUCCAUGUUUGAAAACAAACAAGGAAGUGUAUGAGUAUGUGGGUAUGAGAUGUUUAGUGCAAAACUAUUGACAUUGGUCACUUUGGACAGAGGAGCUAGGUUUGGAAGAUUGUGAGAUGAAGAUAUGGCUAAAAUUUGAGACGAUACCUAAUGUUUUAGUUGAUAGUAGCAUGUAAAAUGCGGGACUAUGUUCAAUCUUUUAUACAAUUCAUCUGGAUUUUACAAUGCAAGGAUUUUACAUUGCAAAUUAAAUGGAAGCUUUGAUAAGAUUCUAAAUGUCCUUGAGGUGCAUGUUAGGAUGAUUUUGUUUACAAUAUUGUAACUGCAUUAAGUUAUUUUUUAAAAGUGUGAUAGGUUUGAAAACAUUGGUACCAAUCAAGAUGAUGAUGAUACUAAUGUAACGUCAAAAGGUGUAUGUUUUAUGUAUGAUUUCCAAAAGAAAAUUGAUGAGAAGAUGUUUAUAAUAAGAUGUUGUAAAUGAGUGAUAAUCCUUGCCUCUGUCAAAUUCAUCUUUUAAA
This is a long non-coding RNA of Medicago truncatula (barrel medic), 1139 nucleotides long. RefSeq lists it as uncharacterized. The transcript is spliced from 5 exons. Lineage: Eukaryota; Viridiplantae; Streptophyta; Magnoliopsida; Fabales; Fabaceae. The record is from RefSeq and is a predicted model, not a curated record.